This 701-nucleotide ribosomal RNA is filed under the name uncultured bacterium. Its description in RNAcentral is "bacterial SSU rRNA". It matches the Rfam family "Bacterial small subunit ribosomal RNA", at positions 113 to 810 of the family's 1533-position model. The record is from RNAcentral.
ACACGUAUGGAACCUGCCCGCCACAGGGGGAUAACCCGGGGAAACCCGGCCUAAUACCCCAUGCCGCCCGGACCGGGCAUCCGGUCCGGGCGAAAGGAGGAAUCCGGUGGCGGCUGGGCAUGCGGCGCAUUAGCUUGACGGCGGGGUAACGGCCCACCGUGGCGACGAUGCGUAGGGGUUCUGAGAGGAAGGCCCCCCACACUGGAACUGAGACACGGUCCAGACUCCUACGGGAGGCAGCAGUGAGGAAUAUUGGUCAAUGGGCGGAAGCCUGAACCAGCCAAGUCGCGUGAGGGAAUAAGGCCCUACGGGCCGUAAACCUCUUUUGCCGGGGAGCAAGGGCCGGGACGAGUCCCGGUCCGGAGAGUACCCGGAGAAAAAGCAUCGGCUAACUCCGUGCCAGCAGCCGCGGUAAUACGGAGGAUGCGAGCGUUAUCCGGAUUUAUUGGGUUUAAAGGGUGCGUAGGCGGGCUUUUAAGUCAGCGGUAAAAAUUCGGGGCUCAACCCCGUCCGGCCGUUGAAACUGGGGGCCUUGAGUGGGCGAGAAGAAGGCGGAAUGCGUGGUGUAGCGGUGAAAUGCAUAGAUAUCACGCAGAACCCCGAUUGCGAAGGCAGCCUUCCGGCGCCCUACUGACGCUGAGGCACGAAAGUGCGGGGAUCGAACAGGAUUAGAUACCCUGGUAGUCCGCACAGUAAACGAU